This 1201-nucleotide unclassified non-coding RNA is filed under the name Zea mays. Its description in RNAcentral is "misc RNA Zm00001eb260520". Lineage: Eukaryota; Viridiplantae; Streptophyta; Magnoliopsida; Poales; Poaceae. The record is from RNAcentral.
GCUUGGAGCAAGAGAAUCCUCAUGCGGGGAGCACAAUUUGCCUAACGAGGUUGUAGAUGGCCCAAAGGUAUCCCUUGGGCUGCUGCUCCUCCGGCAGCCUCAACAUGCUCGCCACCUUGUCGAACUGCGCCUGCCCGAGGGCAGCGUCCGCCGGCGACGGCUCCUCCGAGGAUCGCGCCUCGGGUGUCCUGAGAUCCCUGUGGAGCUCGGGUGGCGACAGCGCCCACUGCAUCGCCCAGAUGCCGAGCGGCCGCAUGUAGUGCAGCGACCGAUAGCCGCCGUCCUCCGUCCAAGCCUCGGGCGUCUGGAACGCGUACCCGAAGCCGUCGUUGCCCCAGGCGGCGUCGUGGGCGCCCUUGGCCGUCCGGAACGCGGCCUCCGUCAUGCCCUCGUGGACCAUGGCCGCCGCAACGGCGUACGUGACCCCGGGCCACACCUCCUUGGACUGCGUGGACGAUGCGUCGACGGCGCCGUCGGGGCGCAUCCCGUUCACGGCCCCGAUGGCGCCGCCCUUGACCCGCAUGACGUUGUAGUCCAGCACGGUCGCCAGCGCGCUCCGUGCCUUGGCGUCCUCCACCACCGGCUCCAGCCCGCACGCCCGCGCGUACCACUGCCCCGCCAGUUGGUCCGCCAUGAUGGACUCGCUGGCGCCGCCGCCGCCGCUGUUGUCGUAGCGGAAGUAGGCGCCGGUCCAGAGCUCGGCAUCGUACACGCGCGCCGCCCUGUCCCGCCUCGCGCGGAAGUAGGCCUCGGCGGGGCGGUCCCCGACGACGCGCGCCAUGCCCGCCGCCGCCUGCAGCGCCGCCACCCAGACCCCGCCCGUGUAGGCGCUGACACCGGAGACCGACCACAUGUCGUACGUCUGGUCGGGCACCCCCUCGUUCUCCACCAUCCCGUCGCCGUCGCGGUCGAACUGGUCCAUGUACGCCAUGGCCACGUACACGGCGGGCCACACCGCCUCCGCGAACGCGGCGUCGCCCGUGGCCACGGCGUCGCGGUACACCUGCAGGACGAACUUGGGGUUGAGGUCCUUCCACCGCGCCGCGUCGUGCAGCAUGUACGCGUUCAGCUCCACCCAUGGGUCGUUGAGCCCGACGUCGUGCGGCACGGCGCCCAGCACCUUGCGCGCCACGGUCCUGCCGUCCAGGGUGCGCCGGGGGCGAGGGUCGUGGAGGAGCACGGCGCGCGCGAAGUCCCGCUG